This 521-nucleotide ribosomal RNA is filed under the name uncultured beta proteobacterium. RNAcentral's name for it is "bacterial SSU rRNA". It matches the Rfam family "Bacterial small subunit ribosomal RNA", at positions 381 to 896 of the family's 1533-position model. Lineage: Bacteria; Pseudomonadati; Pseudomonadota; Betaproteobacteria. The record is from RNAcentral.
CCCUGAUCCAGCAAUGCCGCGUGAGUGAAGAAGGCCUUCGGGUUGUAAAGCUCUUUUGUCAGGGAAGAAACACCGGCUCUAACACAGUCCGGGAAUGACGGUACCUGAAGAAUAAGCACCGGCUAACUACGUGCCAGCAGCCGCAGUAAUACGUAGGGUGCGAGCGUUAAUCGGAAUUACUGGGCGUAAAGCGUGCGCAGGCGGUUAUACAAGACAGGCGUGAAAUCCCCGGGCUUAACCUGGGAAUGGCGCCUGUGACUGUAUAGCUAGAGUGUGUCAGAGGGGGGUAGAAUUCCACGUGUAGCAGUGAAAUGCGUAGAUAUGUGGAGGAAUACCAAUGGCGAAGGCAGCCCCCUGGGAUAACACUGACGCUCAUGCACGAAAGCGUGGGGAGCAAACAGGAUUAGAUACCCUGGUAGUCCACGCCCUAAACGAUGCUGACUAGUUGUUCGGGAUUUACAUCCUGAGUAACGUAGCUAACGCGUGAAGUCAGCCGCCUGGGGAGUACGGUCGCAAGAUUA